This 272-nucleotide ribosomal RNA is filed under the name uncultured prokaryote. Its description in RNAcentral is "partial 16S ribosomal RNA". It matches the Rfam family "Bacterial small subunit ribosomal RNA", at positions 524 to 796 of the family's 1533-position model. The record is from RNAcentral.
UACGAAGGGGGCUAGCGUUGCUCGGAAUUACUGGGCGUAAAGGGCGCGUAGGCGGACAGUUUAGUCAGGGGUGAAAUCCCAGGGCUCAACCCUGGAACUGCCUUUGAUACUGGCUGUCUUGAGUACGGGAGAGGUGUGUGGAACUCCGAGUGUAGAGGUGAAAUUCGUAGAUAUUCGGAAGAACACCAGUGGCGAAGGCGACACACUGGCCCGUUACUGACGCUGAGGCGCGAAAGCGUGGGGAGCAAACAGGAUUAGAUACCCAGUAGUCC